Long non-coding RNA from Hyaena hyaena (striped hyena), 781 nucleotides. RefSeq lists it as uncharacterized. The transcript has 7 exons. NCBI's taxonomy places the organism in Eukaryota, Metazoa, Chordata, Mammalia, Carnivora, Hyaenidae. The record is from RefSeq and is a predicted model, not a curated record.
CUCGAAAAGCUGGACUUGAAAAUGGAGCAGGAUGUGGAUUCCAUCCUCUAGGAGAACUUAUGAUCCAAAAUGGCUGACGGAGAUCCAGCCAUCACAUCUGGGUCGUAGGCUGGAAGAAGGAGGAAAGCAGAACAUGGCUGGCAGGCCUCCAAGCUGAGUUAGCUCCAUGAACCCAUCAAAUACUGUUUCUUCAACAAAAGCCACAUCUGUCCAUAUCCCUGCAUUCUAACUGUAGAAGGGAACAGGCGAGGAGAACUCAGUGUCUUAUCAGAGGGUGCCAGAAGUAGCCAGACACCCUAGCAUCCAAGCCUGGAAGGAGGUCGCUGCCGCUGCCACCCAUCUGUCAUCAGCCCACAUCUUAGAGGCUCUCACCUUCAUCAUCCUAUUUCCAGAAAAACAUCUUCAUGCCCACACCCCAGCUCAUCCAGCCAUGGGCAGUAAGGUACCAACCUGCAGUCUCAGAUUUAUGAGUUCCUUGUUUGUCACCGCAUGCAUUCCCUUUUAUGAGCCCUCCGUGACAGGAAGAGAAGCCUAAGGAGCAUUGAAACACACCGCUAAUGGCUGUGAGGUCAAGAGAGUAUCCUCGCUUCAACAUCCGCCUCAUCACUGCCUGGCACUACUUACUAACGGUCCAUUUGACAUAGGACCAAUGAGGCCCCAGAGAGUUCACCGACAUCCUGAAGGUCACUUGGCUAACUGGCGACCAAGUCAAAAUCUCCAUCCUUCUGCGUUGUGCAGACUAUGAAAACUGAAAUAUUAAAGUAACCUCAUCUGACACCCA